This 478-nucleotide ribosomal RNA is filed under the name uncultured bacterium. RNAcentral describes it as "partial 16S ribosomal RNA". It matches the Rfam family "Bacterial small subunit ribosomal RNA", at positions 28 to 523 of the family's 1533-position model. The record is from RNAcentral.
GACGAACGCUGGCGGCGUGCUUAACACAUGCGAGUCGAACGGUAAGGCCCUUCGGGGUACACGAGUGGCGAACGGGUGAGUAACACGUGGGUGAUCUGCCCUGCACUUCGGGAUAAGCCUGGGAAACUGGGUCUAAUACCGGAUAGGACUCCGGACUGCAUGGUCUGGGGUGGACAGCUUUUGCGGUGUGGGAUGGGCCCGCGGCCUAUCAGGUUGUUGGUGGGGGGAUGGCCUACCAAGGCGACGACGGGUAGCCGGCCUGAGAGGGUGACCGGCCACACUGGGACUGAGAUACGGCCCAGACUCCUACGGGAGGCAGCAGUGGGGAAUAUUGCACAAUGGGCGCAAGCCUGAUGCAGCGACACCGCGUGAGGGAUGACGGCCUUCGGGUUGUAAACCUCUUUCAGCAUCGACGAAGCGCAAGUGACGGUAGGUGCAGAAGAAGGACCGGCCAACUACGUGCCAGCCGCCGCGGUAA